This 179-nucleotide unclassified non-coding RNA is filed under the name uncultured fungus. Its description in RNAcentral is "sequence contains ITS1". Lineage: Eukaryota; Fungi. The record is from RNAcentral.
CAGAGUUAUACAACUCCUAAACCCAUGUGAACAUACCUCUAGUUGCCUCGGUAGGUGGUGCUCACGUUUAUACCAGUCAUAGUUUGGCUAUGUGCUGGUUGGACGCGGGAUAUCCUCUACCGGUGGACCAUAAAACUCUGUUUUAUUAUUGGAAUUCUGAUUCUUAACUAAAUAAGUUA